UUUUGGAUGGCAGAAUAAAUAUGCAUAUAAAUUAAGAUUAUAAGAUAGAAGUUUUUCUUCCAAAAAC
Molecule: transfer RNA, 67 nt
Filed under: Lissoclinum patella
Lineage: Eukaryota; Metazoa; Chordata; Ascidiacea; Aplousobranchia; Didemnidae
Description: tRNA-Leu
Source: RNAcentral